This is a non-coding RNA of Pogona vitticeps (central bearded dragon), 564 nucleotides long. The record is from RefSeq and is a predicted model, not a curated record. NCBI's taxonomy places the organism in Eukaryota, Metazoa, Chordata, Lepidosauria, Squamata, Agamidae.
CACUCAAGCAGGAAAUCCACAGCUAAAGCACUUCUGACAAGUCGCCAUCUAACUUCUUUGUUGAAACUUCUAGUGAAGGAGCACCCAAGGGAAUCAAUUCCAUUGUCAAAUAGCUUUUACUGUCAAGAACUUCUUCCUAAUAUUUAUGCAGCAUGUCCCUUCGUGUCAUUUGAAGCAAUAACUUUGGGUCCCACCUUCUGCAACUAUGGAAAACAUGCCUGUUCCCUCUUGCUUAACAGUCUAAUGACAUCCCCUAAUCGAUUUGCCAACCUCUGAGACAGCAAUAUGGUUGUUUAUUAGUACUCCUACAGUUAAUUAUGGGCUAGGGUCUAACUGGCAAAAUGUUAAGCUCCCAAAGAUUGCCAGCUCUUCAUAGGAUGUACAGCUCCUUUACUCUUGUUGUGACUAGUAUGCUUAGGUAAACAUGGAGUGAGAUCCACAAAUGAAGGCACAAAACACAGUAAAAGAAAAUAAAUGAACUUCCAACACAGUGCAAUACAAUGAGGAGAUGAAAAGUGCAAAUCUGGAUUAAACUAUCAAAUGAAAUUAUGAAGUUAUGCAAAA